RNAcentral lists this unclassified non-coding RNA (378 nucleotides) under uncultured bacterium. RNAcentral's name for it is "contains 16S-23S intergenic spacer region". The record is from RNAcentral.
UCCGGCUUGCCACCGGCAGUUCCACUAGAGUGCCCACCCGAGGUGCUGGCAACUAGCGAUAAGGGUUGCGCUCGUUGCGGGACUGAACCCAACAUCUCACGACACGAGCUGACGACAACCAUGCACCACCUGUCACCGCUGCCCCGAAGGGAAGCUCCAUCUCUGGAGCGGUCAGCGGGAUGUCAAGCCUUGGUAAGGUUCUUCGCGUCGCGUCGAAUUAAACCACAUGCUCCGCUGCUUGUGCGGGCCCCCGUCAAUUCCUUUGAGUUUUAGCCUUGCGGCCGUACUCCCCAGGCGGGGUGCUUAAUGCGUUAGCUGCGGCACGGACGGAGUCGACACCGCCCACACCUAGCACCCAUCGUUUACAGCGUGGACUAC